GGAGGGAUGGCAGAGCGGUUGAAUGCACCGGUCUUGAAAACCGGCGUAGGUUAAUAGCCUACCCAGGGUUCGAAUCCCUGUCCCUCCA
This is a transfer RNA of Cobetia sp., 88 nucleotides long. It matches the Rfam family "tRNA". Rfam says of the family: Transfer RNA (tRNA) molecules are approximately 80 nucleotides in length. The record is from Rfam. NCBI's taxonomy places the organism in Bacteria, Pseudomonadati, Pseudomonadota, Gammaproteobacteria, Oceanospirillales, Halomonadaceae.